Molecule: long non-coding RNA, 5415 nt
Filed under: Homo sapiens (human)
Lineage: Eukaryota; Metazoa; Chordata; Mammalia; Primates; Hominidae
Description: non-protein coding lnc-KIAA0040-4:1
Source: RNAcentral
AGCACGCCCACUUCAUCAAGGAAGUUGAAAUGGAAAAAGAUUAUGUGUUGUCAAUUCAGGUGAAAGUCAAGAAACAUCAGUGGAAACAAAAAUCUUCCUUUUAUUGAAACCAUUCUACACUAUGGAACAUUUUUAUAAAUAGUACCAGCGGCAUUGCAUAGCUUUAUUUUGAAGCAAGAAAGAGACUUCAAAGAUCAGCUUAUUCAACCCUCUAUAAAAGGAUUUAUAGAUUCCUUUUAUUUAAUAGGGUGAUUUUCUCAUGAGUUUUCACCAUGUUUAAAAGACACUGUGCCCCACUCUCAUCCCAAGGUCUAUGGUCAACUUGACUCAAUGCUCAUAACUUUCCUCGCUGAUUCCUGCUUAUCCUGCUCCUCCAAGCACAACUGCAUUUCCCAAAGGUAGAUCCAGUAAGCAAUACUCUCAAAGCACCCACCCUAUGCACACCAGUUUCCCUCAAGGGACUCAAAAGGAAUCGAGGUAGACCCUUCUCAGAGGCUGUUUAACUACAGACACAUCAGGAUAUGUACUAAUACCCAAAACCAAAACCACCACCAAUGACUGCAAUAGAUUCACUGUCUAGACCCAAGGUCCAGGCAGUUUCCCUUUUUUGCAUUUCCCCAACAUAUAAAGAUAAUUUCCAACAUAUCAGAUGCACAUUCACCAGGGUUAUUUCUGGAAGGUGAAGGGGUCAGGUGUAGAAGAGGUGGCAAGAAUGACAAGUCUGUGGAAAACUGUUGGCCUUGAGACCACAGUGAACUGGUGGAAGGGGACUUGCUAAGUGUGGCCACAAGGUGGCAGUCACCUCCUGAAACCCCGUGUGAAACGUCAGCGGGGUUGAGAAAGGCCACGUCUCCAAGUUUCCAGGAGAGCCAAACCAGGACUCAGGAAAACCGGCCAGCUGAUUUGUAUGGGAGAUUGAUUUGUAAAAGAACAACAACAACAUAUGGCAGCAAGGAAAUGCAAAGCAAACAUCUACAAAUAUUUGAAUCCACCUGUCCCUCACCUACCAACUUCCCCCUCUACUACUCAUAAAGUGGUAGGACUCCUAAUGCCCCGCUUCCUUCCACCUGAGAACCAACCAGCACCCUGAUAUUUCAAAGCCAGACCUAAAGAACCAUGGUUGCCAAUAACCUCAAUGCCAAACCAAACAAUCCUAAUCACAUUUUUACUUUUCAAAUCCAGUCUCAGAGCAGAGCUGUAGAUUAAGGGACAAAAAGUCAUUGUGGAAUCUUUUCAAAUAGCUCUUGUAAAAGCAUCAGUUGGGAAAGAGUUUAUGAGUUCCUCUUUGUCCUCUCCUCUGGAGAAAAGACAGAACAUGCAAGAACACUAGAUACACCAAGCUAUGGGUGUUGAAAUAGACUAGCUGGUGACCUGGAUUUGCAAAUACCCUAGGGACAUGAAAACAUUUUUUCUUUUUCUUUUUCUUUUUUGUAACCUCCACCCAGAAUUUCAGGAAAGGUGGGGCCACAUGCCCAGGAUAUAUGGUAUUCUACUGCUUGCUUUCUUAUCACCAGAAUACUAGUCAAUCUGAUUUCUUAGUUCCAUGUCUUUUCUUCCAAGGAGGUAGGGCAUGGGGUUGGGGGACACUUUCCGCCUUCCUUGCAUCUCACUGUCCACUCUUAAAUUUUUAUUAAGAAACCUCUGAAAGAUUCAAAAUUCAGUUCAGUUUCAAUAAUCCCAAAGAAGUUGGGAUAAUUUGUUUUCACUUGCUUCAAACUUGCCACGGCUGCAGGAGGAGUCUCAGGACCUCAGAGGAAUGGGGCAGAUGUGUGAAGUCUGGGAGUCUGCCUCCCACCCAGAUGCCAGGAGCUGCAUACUCAGCUCUGCCUCACUUCCCUGAUGGUCUGCUUUCAUCCAGGUUACCAUGACAGAGAGGGUCUAUCCUCUAAAGAAAGCUGAGUUACAGGCUGGCCCCUGGGGUUGUUCCUGUAGCCUCUCUUUGACCACAUUCCUGAAGAUGUUUAGCUGAAUGCCUCCUCAAACCUUUGCUUCUUCCAUAACCCAAUCCUACACAUAUGUGAUAAAGCUUUCUUCAACAAUACUGGGUCAUUUGGACACUACCAGUCCAGAUGAGAACUCACAGACCAAAUGAAAACUUUCAAAAGCAAGCAGGGAAAGUAACUCCUAUAUGCUUUAAGAUGAUGUAUUGGUGUAGAUUCAGGUCCAAUUUGAAAAAAUGUCUCUGGUUCUUUCUAAUUGUAUCCACUCUGGAUUUGUUUAUGCCAGUUCUACAUUCAUCAAGCCUUGAGAAACAGGUGGAAAGAAGAAAAAUAUAAAAUUAAGAAGAAGCUGAUGGAUCAUUGGAGAUUCAAAACAAGCCUUCUACCGGUGGCACCACACUGAAAGGCAGAGACAAGGCAGGAGCGGCCAUGGGAGAGGAAGCAGCAUUGGCUUCUCACGUUCUGGCCUCCAGCCUCCCACCAGAGCUUCUGCCAUUCACCCACUUAACUUGAGGAGAAACUAAGGCACCAAGGCCUGUCACUGCACCGAAAACCAGAAGCAGAAGGACUUUCUUUCUUUGCUCAACCAGUUCUGCCUGGAUCUGACUUUUGCGUCACCAGUAGUCACAAGCCUGAUUUGUCAUCUCCAGCAUUCUGUUUAUUUUUUUAAGGUCAAUCUUUGCCUGAAACAUGACUUCAUUGCACCUGCAGCACUUCAUUGUCCAAAUGUCCUUGGCAAACCUCACAGUCUUUGGACAGUGUUGCAUUUUCUCCAAAGGGGAAAUCCUCUCUCCUUCCUCAAGCUUAAUAAGGCUCUUGCAGUGCAUCCAAAUAACACAGCUCUUGUUCCUCAGACACACUCAGCCCCCUCUGAUAACUUCAUAAAACAGCUCCUUAUUGUCUGGGCCAUGAAGCCAGGCUAAUGCUAAAGUUCCAGUUCAAAAACAUUUAACUCUAUUAUCCUUAUGAGGCCAGCUCUCCUGGGUACUGGCACUCACUCACUGGCACCAUGGAUUCAGGUCAGGUGGUGCAAACAUCUUCCCUGAGAAGCAAGCCAUACACCCAACAGGUCUAGAACACCUAGGUCACAAGAAAGGGUUUCAGUCCAGAUGCACUGUCAGUAAGUGAACACAAGGACAAGAAUGCAUGAACUGUUAUUUUCUUCCCAUCACUGGUUUAGCAGCCCCUAGGGAGACCCUGUGUUGCUCUUUAAUAUUCUGACAUGGAGCACUAAUAUGCUCAACACUGCCUCCAACAGGCAAAUGUUGGAAAUACACUUUCAGAGCUGGAUGGGACUCAAGAUCAUCUAAUAUAAUCCUCUCAUUUUAUUUCCUCUCAAGGAAACCAAGGGCAAGAAAGUUUAGGCAAUUUGCUCACAUUCACACAGGCAAUUAGUAACAGAGCUGAGUUCGGGUCUGGUAUAGGCUUUUUAAUUUGAUUCUCCACAAAUGAACACUAAGAUAAAUAGCAUUUAUUGCAUACCCACUAUUUACCAGAUACUGUGCAAAGGGCUUUACAUAUAUUACUUUACUAAAUCCUCACCAUAAACUUUAAGUCAGGUUUAACCAUUUUAUAGAAGAGGGAAGGGAGGGCCAGGAAGGUUAAGUAACAUGCUCAAAGUCACACAGCUACUAAAUAGAGCCAUAAUCUGAACCUUUGUCUAAUUUUGAAGCCCUUGAUUUUUCCACUUCAUGAGGCUGCUCUUUAUAUUUAUUUAGCUGAGUGACCACCAUCUUGGAUUUUACUAAUAUUCUUACAAGGGGGCUUUGAUGCCACUUCUUCUGACUUUUAAGAAAAGGAAAUUCUUGCAUUAUUUUUGCCAUGUACUCCAGGGGACCCUCAAUCUCAUCAUCAUGGGGAAUAAGAAACAUUCUGACAUCUCUUUCCUUUUCUUUCUUUUUAAAUUUGGUAGACGAGGGAGAGGGUCCCCAACAGAAUGAGAGGGGGAAGAUAAGAACCAGAACAUAAACCCAAUACCCCCCACCCCACUCUUUUGGGAACAUCCCAACAUUAGAAGAGUGGGAUAUCCAGUCAUUUUUUUCAAGCUGGAGCAGGCAGUGUAGCCAGGAUUGAGGAAGGAGAAGCCACAGAAUAAACAUGGCACAUGUUCUCAGAGCAUCAAUUUUACUCCAGAAUUUGGGAAGAAAGGAUUAUAUUAUUAGUGUAUUCAAACCAGUAUGGAUAGCACAAAUGCAGAUAUCCUAUAAAUUUUGAGGCUAACUCCAGCAGGUUGUAGACUGAUUUAGGCUACCUCCUUCCAGACUCCCAGGGGUACAAACACCUUCACAGUCCCCUGCGGGAGUACAUCAGUGGAAAUAUUUGGGGAAUGAGGCUAGAAGGCAGGAGAUACAUUCAGUUUACUUAUCCCCCUGGUUUCUUUUCCCCACUCCUUACCUGCCCCACAUCCCUAGUGGGUGGGAAGGCAUCAGAAGACAGUUGGCUACAAUAUCAGCUUUCUCUGCUACUUUGGGGAAUUUAGAAGGAAAUCAGUACUUGGCAACCUGGUAUUUUUAGCUGCCAGGCCAAAACUCCAGACAUAAACCCCUUCCCUUUAAUUGAAUGAUGUUUAUAUAUAAAGGAAUAGAUCUCCCCAAGAAAGAACCCCAGAACACUGGUUCCAUUCCAGUGUGGGGGCUGCUUGGGCAGCAGUGACACCUGUGCAUUAGAUGCAAUAGACACUUCAAUUCCUGCAAAAAUGUCGGCCAACUAAGUGCUCCUUUACCAACUGCGGAGGCCCAGACUCACACCAUGGUCCCACAGACUCAAGGUUUAGAAUCUAUGUGAGUCUAUUUUGGUUAACACACAGGCUCCUCCUUCCAAUCAUUCACACACACACACACACACACACACACACACACAUGCACACACACACAUGCAUGCACACAUACACAGGUGCACAUGCACAAACACACACAUCUAAUGAUUCCAACCUCGAAUACUCCCCAGGCCCAUGGGGAUGCCCAAGUACCCUAAGCAAAUCACUGUGACACUGAGGGGGUCAUUAACUGGGGCUCCGAGCAGCUGAAACCCACCCUGGUGGUCUCUAGAUUGUUGUUCUGAGAAAUCAUAAACACCAAAUCCUCCAAUCCCUUUGAAUUUGAGUUUGUCAUUUUAACCUUUAACAGCCUUUUCAGGUAAAAAUAACAAAGACCAAUUUAUUGACUUUGUAGCUACAAUGAGCUUGAAAAAGCGCUUACUUAAAAGAAAGACUGGAAGGAAGAAAAAAAAAAGAAAAUGGAGUACAUACUCCUCAGACGAUGCACACUUUAAUUAGCUAAAAUAAAAAUAAAAAUGUACAGAGGAAGGGAGAGGAAAAACCAACUUCUCUGAUCCUUUCAUGGCACUGUAGCUCAAAGACUGGAAUCUCUGCUUGUUAACCAUUGUUAACUAGUAUUUUUAGUCCUGGUUGCUUUUAGCCUCUGUAUAGUUCCUUUUUUAAACACAUUUUCUAUACGUUAAUAAAAGAUCCUGAAAG